UACGAAGGGUGCAAGCGUUACUCGGAAUUACUGGGCGUAAAGGGUGCGUAGGUGGUUGUUUAAGUCUGCUGUGAAAGCCCCGGGCUCAACCUGGGAACCGCGCUUGAGACUGGCGGGCUAGAGUUCGGGAGAGGAUGGUGGAAUUCCCAGUGUAGAGGUGAAAUUCGUAGAUAUUGGGAAGAACACCGAUGGCGAAGGCAGCCAUCUGGACCGACACUGACGCUGAGGCGCGAAAGCGUGGGGAGCAAACAGG
RNAcentral lists this ribosomal RNA (253 nucleotides) under uncultured bacterium. RNAcentral's name for it is "partial 16S ribosomal RNA". It matches the Rfam family "Bacterial small subunit ribosomal RNA", at positions 524 to 776 of the family's 1533-position model. The record is from RNAcentral.